Long non-coding RNA from Bos taurus (domestic cattle), 1670 nucleotides. The record is from Ensembl. Lineage: Eukaryota; Metazoa; Chordata; Mammalia; Artiodactyla; Bovidae.
CCUCCCUAACCCCGCACACACAUUCCCCCAGUUACUCAGGAAAUACUAAUUUAGGUGCAGUGGUAAGAGAUUUUACAUAUGCAAUUAAAGGUCCCAAAUCAGCUGACCUUAAAAUCUGGAAAUUAUCUUUGGUGGGCCUGACUUAAGCAGGUGAGCCUUGAAUGUAAUUAGGCUUUUUCCUGGUAAAAGAUUAGACGCAUGCAAAGGAUUUAUUAGGGGCAAGAUUCUCCUCUGCUAGCUGUUGAGAUGAAGUGGGGCAGUGGCAAGGAAACUGGGCAGCCUUUAGAAGCUGAGAGUAACCCCUGACUGACUGAUAGCAAAGAAAGAGGAGAAAUUAAAUUCUGCCCAGUGAGCUUGGAAGAGAACCCUGAGCUCCAUGUGAAAACAGAGCAGCAGCUAACACCCUGACUCUAGCUUUGUGGGAACCUAAACAGAGAAGCUAGUCAAAGCUAUGGUUUUUCCAGUAGAAUUGAUGCUUUUGAACUUUGGUGUUGGAGAAGACUCUUGAGGGUCCCUUGGACUGCAAGGAGAUCCAAUCAAUCCAUCCUAAAGGAAAUCAGUCCUGAAUAUUCAUUGGAAGGACUGAUGCUGAAGCUGAAACUCCAAUACUUUGGCCACCUGAUGAGAAGAACUGACUCACUGGAAAAAACCCUGAUGCCGGGAACGAUUGAAGGCAAGAGGAGAAGGGGACAACAGAGGAUGAGACGGUUGGAUGGCAUCACUGACUCAAUGGACAUGAGUUUGAGCCAUCUCCAGGAGUUGGUGACGGACAGGGAAGCCUAGCGUGCUGCAGUCCAUGGGGUCACAAAGAGUCGGACACUGAACUGAACUGACUGAAACAGAACCAGCCACGCUUUGUCAAGCUGCUAACUUUGUGGUAAUUUGUUAUACAGCCAUAGAAAAUGAAUACAGGUGGUCAUUUGAAAGAGAGAGACUGCCUGGACAAAGGCGCAGAGGUGUAGAGCAGCAAAAGCCCCUGGGCAGCUUAUUAAAAAAUGCAGAUUUCUGAAUCCUACCAUGAGUAUCUGCACUUUGAAGAAGCAUCCCAGGUGAUCCUUCUGAGAAUUGCUGAGCAAGAGAUAAGAAGACUUGUACCCAGAUCGUCGUCAUGGUUGAGGGGAGGGUGAAUGACUGAAGGAAGCAGCCAGGGCAUUGGUGUGGGAAUGAGACACACUGGUGCUUUAUGGAUGCUUAUGCAGUGAAUACAGAGAACUUCCUGCAACUUUUUAGAAGGAGCAGCGUGAACACCCACAUCCGGACAAUCUGUCCUUGGACAUGUACCAGGCAGCAUUUUCAGAGAGAAAUUCAGUGGCUGAAGCCCGCUCUGGGGUCCCCACUCAAGAGAGGAGAGGAAGGAAGCAGACAACAGAUACCAGAAUCACACUGCCUGGUCCACACCCUUCAUCCUGUGCCUACCUUGGUAACGUCUCCGUGCCUCAGCUUCCUUGUCUGUAAAAUGAGGGUAACUGUAAUAACCUCCCUCAUAAGGAUGUUAACAAAUAGAUGUUACAUACAAAUACUUGUGUAUUUAUUUUUUAAAUGGUUACUGGUAUCUGCCAAGAACUAGGAGAGAUUUGAGGAUUUACGCUAUUCGUAAGCUAACAAAUUAGUCUGCUCCUCUUUCAUGAGUGCUGGCCGAUAACACAAGACUCCUGGCCAGAGGCAAAUAC